AUUGAACGCUGGCGGCAGGCCUAACACAUGCAAGUCGAAUGGUAACAGGAAACUGCUUGCUGUUUCGCUGACGAGUGGCGGACGGGUGAGUAAUGUCUGGGAAACUGCCUGAUGGAGGGGGAUAACUACUGGAAACGGUAGCUAAUACCGCAUAACGUCGCAAGACCAAAGAGGGGGAGCUUCGGGCCUCUUGCCAUCAGAUGUGCCCAGAUGGGAUUAGCUAGUAGGUGGGGUAACGGCUCACCUAGGCGACGAUCCCUAGAUGAUCUGAGAGGAUGACCAGCCACACUGGAACUGAGACACGGUCCAGACUCCUACGGGAGGCAGCAGUGGGGAAUAUUGCACAAUGGGCGCAAGCCUGAUGCAGCCAUGCCGCGUGUAUGAAGAAGGCCUUCGGGUUGUAAAGUACUUUCAGCGGGGAGGAAGGGAGUAAAGUUAAUACCUUUGCUCAUUGACGUUACCCGCAGAAGAAGCACCGGCUAACUCCGUG
This 490-nucleotide ribosomal RNA is filed under the name uncultured bacterium. RNAcentral describes it as "partial 16S ribosomal RNA". It matches the Rfam family "Bacterial small subunit ribosomal RNA", at positions 30 to 507 of the family's 1533-position model. The record is from RNAcentral.